GACGAACGCUGGCGGCGUACUUAACACAUGCAAGUCGAGCGGUAAGGCCCUUUCGGGGGUACGACGAGCGGCGAACGGGUGGAGUAACACGUGGGUGACCUGCCCUCCAGCUCUGGGAGUAAGCCUGGGAAACCGGGUCUAAUACUGGAUAUGACUCCAUGACGCAUGUUGUGGGGUGGAAAGCCUUGUGCGGCUGAGGAUGGGCCCGCGGCCUAUCAGCUUGUUGGUGGGGUGAUGGCCUACCAAGGCGACGACGGGUAGCCGGCCUGAGAGGGCGACCGGCCACACUGGGACUGAGACACGGCCCAGACUCCUACGGGAGGCAGCAGUGGGGAAUCUUGCGCAAUGGGCGAAAGCCUGACGCAGCGACGCCGCGUGAGGGAUGACGGCCUCGG
This 395-nucleotide ribosomal RNA is filed under the name uncultured bacterium. Its description in RNAcentral is "bacterial SSU rRNA". It matches the Rfam family "Bacterial small subunit ribosomal RNA", at positions 28 to 420 of the family's 1533-position model. The record is from RNAcentral.